This 425-nucleotide ribosomal RNA is filed under the name Stanwellia sp. MYG417. Its description in RNAcentral is "partial 16S ribosomal RNA". It matches the Rfam family "Archaeal large subunit ribosomal RNA", at positions 1955 to 2666 of the family's 2987-position model. Lineage: Eukaryota; Metazoa; Arthropoda; Arachnida; Araneae; Nemesiidae. The record is from RNAcentral.
UGAUUGUGAUAAUAAUCAGUAGAACCUGCUCAAUGAUUUUAAAUAGCCGCAGAUAUCUGUGCUAAGGUAGCAUAAUCACUUGCCUUUUAAUUAGAGGCUAGAAUGAAUGGUUUAACAUGUAAAUUAUUUUAUUAAAUAAAUUCCUUUACUUUUACUUUUAAGUAAAAAGGCUUAUAUUAUAAGAAGGACGACAAGACCCUGUCAAACUUUACAUUCUUGUUUAGCUGGGGCAGCAAAUAAACAACAUUUUUAUUUAAAUUUUUUAAUUUUCUAACUUUUUAAAUAACAAGUUACUGCAGGGAUAACAGCACAAUUUUCUUUUAAAGCUCUUAUUUUAAAGAAAGUUUGUGACCUCGAUGUUGAAUUAAAAAAUCUAUUUAAGGGCAAAUUCUUAAUAAGAAAGUCUGUUCGACUUUUAAAUUUUU